This 467-nucleotide ribosomal RNA is filed under the name uncultured bacterium. RNAcentral's name for it is "partial 16S ribosomal RNA". It matches the Rfam family "Bacterial small subunit ribosomal RNA", at positions 28 to 506 of the family's 1533-position model. The record is from RNAcentral.
GACGAACGCUGGCGGCGUGCUUAACACAUGCAAGUCGAACGGAAAGGCCCUGCUUUUGUGGGGUGCUCGAGUGGCGAACGGGUGAGUAACACGUGAGUAACCUGCCCUUGACUUUGGGAUAACUUCAGGAAACUGGGGCUAAUACCGGAUAGGAGCUCCUGCUGCAUGGUGGGGGUUGGAAAGUUUCGGCGGUUGGGGAUGGACUCGCGGCUUAUCAGCUUGUUGGUGGGGUAGUGGCUUACCAAGGCUUUGACGGGUAGACGGCCUGAGAGGGUGACCGGCCACAUUGGGACUGAGAUACGGCCCAGACUCCUACGGGAGGCAGCAGUGGGGAAUAUUGCACAAUGGGCGGAAGCCUGAUGCAGCAACGCCGCGUGCGGGAUGACGGCCUUCGGGUUGUAAACCGCUUUCGCCUGUGACGAAGCGUGAGUGACGGUAAUGGGUAAAGAAGCACCGGCUAACUACGU